CCCUGCCUCUUGGGCAACGAGUGCCAUGGCUGCCUGCCCAGCUAGCCUCAGGGGAUGCCACGUGGCUGGGAUGUGUGGCCCUGGCCCUGCUUUCCAUCUGGUGUGACUUUGUCUCCCUCUUGAUGCCCCCCCCCACCUUCCUGCAGCUCCCGCCCUUGAUGCCAGGACCGGCCCCCACCACGCCCGGGCAACUGGUGGUCCCGGCAGACCUGGCCAGCAGGCAGGACUCAGGGAAGCCUGCAGGGCCAUCAGGCAGCCUACUGACCACCAGCCCUCAGGCCUGGGGAUAGAACUAGAGUCGUUUGGGGCCACAGCUGCCACCCUCAGGGGCAUGGGGGAGGCAGGUGGGGGUCUGUGUAGGCAGCACCCUUACCCCAGCGGGCAGAGUCCUGGGAUAUCUCGGGAAGUUUCCUUCUCACUGUGCCAGGCCCGGUGUCUGGCUGGUGAGUUUGAGGCACACUGAUCAGGCUGAACUCAGAAUGCUGGGGAGUCAGGGUCAGAAAAGUCCAGGCAGGUCCCUGCAGGGGACCUGCACAGGCCAGAGGCCUCCACCCCUGGGCACCAGUUGGGCUGUGAGCCACUGUGAUGGUGGCUGUGCUGGGCUCUCAAGCUGUGCCCCCUGCUUUGUGGGGCCUGGCUCUCCAUCCUGGCUGGAUGCCACUUUCUUUGUGUGGGUGAAGCUGUCUGGAUUCUCAUCUGGGGCCAGAGAGCCGCCUCCCAUCGGCAGAAAGGUGAAGUGAAGCUUCUGCUUUCCACAGUCCUCUGGUGCCCAGAGAGGGGAGGGAAGGGCUCAGGGCCACACAGCACACAGGGGUCGGGGGGGGGCGCUACCGCCUGCCGCGUGCUACCAGGAAUGCAUUGGAGCCUCGUGGGCACUGGAGGUAGAUGCUUCUCCCCCCAUUUCACAGAUGAGAAAACCGAGGUGACUCCCUAGCCCAGGCCCAGGCCCCUUUCCAGGCUUCUGCCGUGGGAGGUGUGCCUCCAUCACCCCUACAUCCUGGCUCAGCCCUCGGGGACUGCAGCCCUCUUCCCACCAGGCUGGUGCCAAGGGGCACCGGCUCCUGGAAACCCAGAGAAGGCAGACAGCUCUUCCGCGUUGUCCUGGAGAUGCUGCCAGAGUCGGCCUGUUUGUCCUGCUGCCAGGGCCGCCGGGGGCCCCAUCGAUGCCCACCUGGCCAGACACAGCUCCCAUCAUUAAAUAUGGCAAAGUGUGGCACCGGCUCCACAGAGCCUACCGUGGAAGAGAAAGGUCCUACUCUUGCUGUCCUGGUAGAAGACGAGGCCCAGAGAGGGGCAGGACCUGCUCAAGGCUGCACACCCCUGCCCUCCUUCUGAGGCUGUGGAAAUGGAGUCACAGGGAGCCAGGGUCAGAAAGGGGACACAUCCAGCUUCCUGACUUGCCGCUCCGUCUUCACUCACUGCCAUCGGGUGCCCAGCGAGGCUCUCAGAAGCCCGGACACUCUGUCCAGGGGCUGCCUCCCUGGCCCGGACUCUGUGGGGGCUCUGGCUGGUCCCAGGCUGGACUUCCCCGCCUCACCAGCCAGCUGCCCCAGGAUGGGUAAGGCUGGCCCAGCAUCUCAGAGCAAGUGGGGAGGGAGGGGAAAGCCAAAACUUUAAGGUAUAUGAACUGUGAAAUUAAAUAGAAAUACUCAAAUAAAGAAUCACAUAACAACAUAAGCAAAGAUGUUUACCAGGGCUUGAAGUUAAAUACAGAUUUUUUCAUAAACCCUAACACAAAAUGCAAUAAAGUUCUGUGGGAUGUUAAAUAUAAUUUACAGUGGGAGGAUGCCCCUCGCCGUCAGGAACCUGCGUGCACUGUGUCACUCUCCAGUGCUGACUUCUGCCGGCCUGGUACUGGCUCACCUGGCAAC
Molecule: long non-coding RNA, 1871 nt
Organism: Callithrix jacchus (white-tufted-ear marmoset)
Lineage: Eukaryota; Metazoa; Chordata; Mammalia; Primates; Cebidae
Source: RefSeq, a predicted model, not a curated record